Molecule: unclassified non-coding RNA, 301 nt
Filed under: Paraglomerales sp.
Lineage: Eukaryota; Fungi; Glomeromycota; Glomeromycetes; Paraglomerales
Description: partial contains 5.8S ribosomal RNA and internal transcribed spacer 2
Rfam family: 5.8S ribosomal RNA (bases 1-65)
Source: RNAcentral
GUGAAUCAUCGAAUCUUUGAACGCAAAUUGCGCCUUUUUCGGAAGGCAUGUCUGUUUGAGGGCACCAUUUAACAAAUAAUGUGCAGCGUUUUUUGUUGCACACGUUGAUGAGCUUUCCAAAAUUAUGUAUUAUUAUUUUUGGUGGCGCAUAAUAAACAGCGCGAUGCUUUUUUUCAGUUCGAGUGUAGUAAGAUCUUUGCUUGGGUUGUGAAAAAACAUAAUCGCGCAAUGGGUGUGGCAAUUUCUUUUUAUCCCUGCCCCAAUGCCACUCCUUCUCACGAAAGAAUGUCUAAUCUUCAGG